UGGGGAAUUGUUCGCAAUGGGCGCAAGCCUGACGACGCAACGCCGCGUGGAGGAUGAAGGUCUUCGGAUUGUAAACUCCUGUUGAUCGGGACGAAAAGCUUCGACCUAACACGUCGAGGACUGACGGUACCGGUUGAGGAAGCCCCGGCUAACUCUGUGCCAGCAGCCGCGGGAAUACAGAGGGGGCAAGCGUUGUCCGGAUUUACUGGGCGUACAGCGCGCGCAGGCGGCGCCGUAUGUGACUGGUGACAUUCGCGGGCUCAACCCGCGACGGCCCGGUUACACAGCGGUGCUGGAGGCAGGGAGAGGGAUGUGGAAUACCCGGUGGAGCGGUGAAAUGCGUAGAGAUCGGGUGGAACACCAGCGGCGAAGGCGGCAUCCUGGCCCUGACCUGACGCUGAGGCGCGAUAGCGUGGGGAGCAAA
This 424-nucleotide ribosomal RNA is filed under the name uncultured bacterium. Its description in RNAcentral is "bacterial SSU rRNA". It matches the Rfam family "Bacterial small subunit ribosomal RNA", at positions 355 to 772 of the family's 1533-position model. The record is from RNAcentral.